Long non-coding RNA from Gallus gallus (chicken), 2839 nucleotides. RefSeq lists it as uncharacterized. NCBI's taxonomy places the organism in Eukaryota, Metazoa, Chordata, Aves, Galliformes, Phasianidae. The transcript has 2 exons. The record is from RefSeq and is a predicted model, not a curated record.
AGGCUUUGCUGUUUCACUCCACGAUGAGAGGGGUUGUGUAGAGGGAAUGCCGGAUUCCAAACGUGGAUGCAGGCGCCUGGGGCUUGAUCAGCGUCACCUGGAAGGGCGAAAAGGAAAGGCAGUCUGCGUUAAGCAAAGUUGCAGCAGGCUUGGAAGCCCCUGUGGCACAGGGGGAGCAGCCCAGGUUCGGAUGCUAACGCGGAAAAGAGGAGCGGCAGAGCUCACCUUGGCAAGGUCUUCGUCAAACCGACCUCGCUGGCUCCUUCCCCUCACAGAGUAGCAGGGGCUGGCCGAUGUGUAGACUGUGUUGGGCCCCAUCAGCCUGGGCAGCGUGUAGGUGCCAGGACCUGCAGGAGGAGCAGCAGAGAGCGUGUGCGCGAGGGGCUGGAGGAGACGGAAGCAGCAGAGAGGGGCAGCCUGCCCAGCCUGCUGGUGGGAGCAGGAGGGAGGUCUCGCCCCUCUGCCAGUUCCUCCCUCUACUCUGGCACUGGGCCAGCGCCAGCAGCUCCGAGCCUGAGCAGCCGCAGCCGCUGCGGGCCCAGAGGUGUUGGUCGUGCAAGAAAGCUUGCGGCCCCAGCGCCGCGUCCUGCCGCGCAGGCUGUGCAGUAGGCCCGCUGCUGGUGCUGAGCAGCAGCCCGUCCCUGCGGGAUGCUCAGGCUGAAGGGUCUGCCUUUGCCAGGGUCAGCGUACCUGGAGGGUGGUCUGUCCGGAGGGGCUCCCGCCGGAAGGCCAUGGACUGCACCGGUGGGCACUUGAAGACGUGCCUGUUGGCUGCCUCGGUGCGGUAGUCACCUGGGGCGGAAGAGAAGAGGAAGAAAGCCGUGAAGCGCCGGUCUUCUUCUUCUGCAACCGCACAGGCACUGUCCCGAGGAAAGGGUCUUCUCAAGAGCUGCAGAAUUGCCGCUGGGGGACACAGGCAGCACGCGGGGACGCUCUUCUGUGCCCCGCCGCUAUGCCCUGCCUUGCUGUCCCUCCCGUCAGCCCCCUGCCGCUUGUUCUUUUUGGACACGGGGUCCUUGUGCCCUCGGCCCGUGGCCCUGGGCAGCUGUCCUUCUCCGAGGGCGUUUAUCGCUGCUCAGCAGCGAUAUGGAGACCUACAGCUGCAUCAGGGCGCGAGCUGGCCCCGGGCAAACGCGCCGCCCGCUCGUCUUGUCUGGGUGAAGUGCUGCACAAGUGGUACUCACUUGGUCCGGGAGUGACGGUGGUCUUCGUCGCGGGUCGUCCCCGGAGCUGGGCGCCCGGAGCCACGUACUUCCCGUUCCUGGUGAUGGCGGGCUCCACAAAGUAGCAGGGACCUGGCCCGCAGCUCCCUGCCGCAGGCGGUUUGGUCCCUCUAAACGUGUAGGCGGGGGCACGGGCUUUGGUGGGGCUGUGGCCCACAUAACCUAGGAGGAAAAGCAGAAGAGAGCACACCCCUGUGCAGCUGCACGUCUCAAGCUCCGUUGGAACAGGCGCAGUUAGGCGCCGGGCCCUGGCCCCGACAUUCCCUUCCCGCGUGACUUCUUCCUCCAAGAGCCCUGGAGGCGAGCUGUGCCGGGCCUCGGAGCGCACAAGAGUCAGUCCCUGAGUGCAAACGGCUGCGCGAGUGCCUUGCAAAGUCACCGCAAAAAGACAGCGGAGUUUUGGCCAGCACGCUGCCUGUACCCGCACCACGCGUGCAGGCACUCCACAGCGAGAGCCCCCUAAGGGUCAAUUGUUCUGCAAGACCCCGUAACGCCUCUCUACAGCUGCAAAGCUGAGUCUGCGCUGGCCAGAAGCGGGCCCCUUUUUCCCCGGGCCACAAGGAGCAGCGCCAGCGGCACCGGCCUUCCUCGGCCAGGCCUGGCUCGCGGCUGCGCCAGGGAGCCAGGAGGCUCUGACAGAACGGGGAAAGGCUCGGGAGCUGCUCUGCCCCGCCAUGUCCCCGGUGCGCCUCACGCCCUGGGGAUGGUGGCUGUACCUGUUGUCCCCGGGAUGGAGUACUGGGGCCCGGGGCUGGGGAACUGGGCCGAGAUGAGGCCGCGUGGGCGAUGAGGUCUCCAGGUCCCCACCCAGGCUCCGUCCAUGCUGGCAGGCAUGUGCCUCCAAACCUAAAGGCAAGAACAGAGGAGUUACUGACGGGCUGCCCCAACAGAGGCCGCAGGUGAGCUUUGCUUCCCGCCCCCCGCGUCUCCUCUGCUCAGCCGCAAGCUGUCCGCCACGUGGCUUGCAGCUCCUGAGCCGGAAGGGCCGGCAGCAGUUUCUCCCGCUCACUGCCAGUCCUGCCAGUCUCGUGCUGCAUGCCCCUCGCGCACACCGGAGCUCAGCCCGCACCCUGCAGCUGGGCUCUGCAGCCUGACGUGUGCAGGAGCUCUCCCUCACCUCUCUGAGCCUUGGAGGACGAGCGCGAUGAGGCUGAGCUAGUCUGCUGCUGGGGCUGCUCUCAGGCACAGGGCACGGCGAGCGGCUGCGGGCAGCACAGCUCACAAAUGAGGCGCCUGGAGCCAGCGGCCAGCUGUCCUUGGGGAGGGCCCGGCGUCGUCAUGGCAAUGCAUUGUGACAGCACACGGGCUCCGGGUGAUGUCAUCUGUGCUGUGACAUCUCCUGGCUGGCCUGGAGCCACGCCCGCCACGCCUUUUCGGCCUCGCACCCCAACCAGUACAAAGCCGUAGCGCACGCUGCCGACACCUGCAGAUGGACUGAGCUCUCACUUCUAGCCACGUGCCGCCCGGGGCUCCUGAGGCUCGGUCAGCGUCACCUGCAAGGGAGAGAUUACGUUACUUCGAACCUACUGGAACAUUUCUGAGAAUGACACUCUGUUCUUUGAAGCUCUGUGUGUAUAUAUACAUAUAAAAAUAAAUAUACGAGAGCCCGAAAAGCA